Non-coding RNA from Cinara cedri, 425 nucleotides. Lineage: Eukaryota; Metazoa; Arthropoda; Insecta; Hemiptera; Aphididae. The record is from the annotation of a GenBank genome assembly.
UUUGAUAAGCUUGAUGUUUUCGAUAUUCUAAACAUUUUACAUCUCAGUAGGAUUUCUAAAAUAUAAAUAUAAUGGUCGAUGCAAUUUUAAUUAAUCUUCUUUAAGCAAAAUCAUUAAUUCUGCACUAAAUUCCAUUUUUUAUGAGGCAGCCAUUGUUCGGUGCAACACCCGUCCCUAUUACCCUAGAACGUUUUUUUUGUUAAAUAUUAAUAAUAUUUGUAAUAGUAAUUAUUGUAAAUUUUGUAUGAAUCCUCUAUCCCCCGAUUUUUUUUGUGUUCGUGCUUGGCUAAAAUCGAUCCCUGAGGGAUUUCAUUAUUCACUCUCCUCCAUUUACUCUUUGGUACCUGAGUGAACUUGGAAUCGUCGGUUUGCUAGGAUUUUUUCUAAAAGUGUCACUAACUUCCUACAUUUAAUAACCUUGUUAA